Molecule: transfer RNA, 86 nt
Filed under: Pseudoleptotrichia goodfellowii F0264
Lineage: Bacteria; Fusobacteriati; Fusobacteriota; Fusobacteriia; Fusobacteriales; Leptotrichiaceae
Description: tRNA-Leu
Rfam family: tRNA
About the family: Transfer RNA (tRNA) molecules are approximately 80 nucleotides in length. Their secondary structure includes four short double-helical elements and three loops (D, anti-codon, and T loops). Further hydrogen bonds mediate the characteristic L-shaped molecular structure. tRNAs have two regions of fundamental functional importance: the anti-codon, which is responsible for specific mRNA codon recognition, and the 3' end, to which the tRNAs corresponding amino acid is attached (by aminoacyl-tRNA synthetases). tRNAs cope with the degeneracy of the genetic code in two manners: having more than one tRNA (with a specific anti-codon) for a particular amino acid; and 'wobble' base-pairing, i.e. permitting non-standard base-pairing at the 3rd anti-codon position.
Source: RNAcentral
UGCGAGUGUGGUGGAACGGUAGACACGCUAUCUUGAGGGGGUAGUGGCAAAAGCUGUACGGGUUCAAAUCCCGUCACUCGCACCAU